This 26-nucleotide non-coding RNA is filed under the name Mus musculus (house mouse). Lineage: Eukaryota; Metazoa; Chordata; Mammalia; Rodentia; Muridae. The record is from RNAcentral.
GUGGAAACUACAAAUUUAGGGGUCCA